This 448-nucleotide ribosomal RNA is filed under the name uncultured bacterium. RNAcentral describes it as "bacterial SSU rRNA". It matches the Rfam family "Bacterial small subunit ribosomal RNA", at positions 330 to 792 of the family's 1533-position model. The record is from RNAcentral.
CCCAGACUCCUACGGGAGGCAGCAGUGGGGAAUAUUGGACAAUGGGGGGAACCCUGAUCCAGCGACGCCGCGUGAGUGAAGAAGUAUUUCGGUAUGUAAAGCUCUAUCAGCAGGGAAGAAAGAAAUGACGGUACCUGACUAAGAAGCCCCGGCUAACUACGUGCCAGCAGCCGCGGUAAUACGUAGGGGGCAAGCGUUAUCCGGAUUUACUGGGUGUAAAGGGAGCGUAGACGGUUAUGUAAGUCUGGAGUGAAAGCCCGGGGCCCAACCCCGGGACUGCUUUGGAAACUGUGUAAUUGGAGUACAGGAGGGGCAGGCGGAAUUCCUGGUGUAGCGGUGAAAUGCGUAGAUAUCAGGAGGAACACCGGCGGCGAAGGCGGCCUGCUGGACUGAAACUGACGUUGAGGCUCGAAAGCGUGGGGAGCAAACAGGAUUAGAUACCCGGGUA